Molecule: non-coding RNA, 82 nt
Organism: Podarcis lilfordi (Lilford's wall lizard)
Lineage: Eukaryota; Metazoa; Chordata; Lepidosauria; Squamata; Lacertidae
Source: the annotation of a GenBank genome assembly
GCUGAGAUGGUUCAGUUGGUAGAGCAUAAGACUCUUAAGCUCAAGGUCAUGGGUUCAAGCGCAUUGGGGAAAAAUUCCUGCA